GAUUUCUGGCUUGAUCCAUUUUGCCGGCCACGGUUUCGUGUGUUAGUGCUUGAUGGUCUGGCCAUCCUUCCUAUCGCGUCGUGUGCAUCUUCAUUGAUGCGCACGGCUGGUGGGAUCGUUUACUUUGAAAAAAUUAGAGUGUUUAAAGCAGGCUUUUGCUAUGAAUACAUUAGCAUGGAAUAAUAAUCUAGGACUUCGGUUCUAUUUUGUUGGUUUCUAUAACUGAAGUAAUGAUUGAUAGGGAUAGUUGGGGGUGCUAGUAUUGGCCGGCCAGAGGUGAAAUUCUUGGAUUCGGUCAAGACUAACUUAUGCGAAAGCAUU
This 321-nucleotide ribosomal RNA is filed under the name Cercozoa sp. Its description in RNAcentral is "SSU rRNA". The stretch from base 102 to 321 matches the Rfam family "Eukaryotic small subunit ribosomal RNA", at positions 734 to 955 of the family's 1831-position model. The record is from RNAcentral. Lineage: Eukaryota; Cercozoa.